CCUACGGGUGGCAGCAGUGAGGAAUAUUGGUCAAUGGGCGCGAGCCUGAACCAGCCAAGUCGCGUGAAGGAUGACGGUCCUACGUGUUGUAAACCUCUUUUGUCAAGGAAUAAAGUGAGGCACGUGUGCCUUUUUGUAUGUACUUUAUGAAUAAGGAUCGGCUAACUCCGUGCCAGCAGCCGCGGUAAUACGGAGGAUCCGAGCGUUAUCCGGAUUUAUUGGGUUUAAAGGGAGCGGAGAUGGGUUGUUAAGUCAGUUGUGAAAGUUUGGGGCUCAACCGUAAAAUUGCAAUUGAUACUGGCAGUCUUGAGUACAGGUGAGGUAGGCGGAAUGCGCGGUGUAGCGGUGAAAUGCUUAGAUAUCACGAAGAACUCCGAUUGCGAAGGCAGCUUACUAGAUUGCCACUGACGCUGAUGCUCGAAAGUGUGGGUAUCAAACAGGAUUAGAUACCCGUGUAGUC
This 460-nucleotide ribosomal RNA is filed under the name uncultured bacterium. RNAcentral's name for it is "partial 16S ribosomal RNA". It matches the Rfam family "Bacterial small subunit ribosomal RNA", at positions 338 to 795 of the family's 1533-position model. The record is from RNAcentral.